This 477-nucleotide ribosomal RNA is filed under the name uncultured bacterium. RNAcentral's name for it is "partial 16S ribosomal RNA". It matches the Rfam family "Bacterial small subunit ribosomal RNA", at positions 28 to 523 of the family's 1533-position model. The record is from RNAcentral.
GAUGAACGCUGGCGGCGUGCUUAACACAUGCAAGUCGAGCGAUGAAGUUCCUUCGGGAAUGGAUUAGCGGCGGACGGGUGAGUAACACGUGGGUAACCUGCCUCAUAGAGGGGAAUAGCCUUCCGAAAGGAAGAUUAAUACCGCAUAAGAUUGUAGUGCCGCAUGGCAUAGCAAUUAAAGGAGUAAUCCGCUAUGAGAUGGACCCGCGUCGCAUUAGCUAGUUGGUGAGGUAACGGCUCACCAAGGCGACGAUGCGUAGCCGACCUGAGAGGGUGAUCGGCCACAUUGGGACUGAGACACGGCCCAGACUCCUACGGGAGGCAGCAGUGGGGAAUAUUGCACAAUGGGGAAACCCUGAUGCAGCAACGCCGCGUGAGUGAUGAAGGUCUUCGGAUUGUAAAACUCUGUCUUCAGGGACGAUAAUGACGGUACCUGAGGAGGAAGCCACGGCUAACUACGUGCCAGCCGCCGCCGUAA